This 66-nucleotide transfer RNA is filed under the name Chrysopa pallens. RNAcentral's name for it is "tRNA-Pro". The record is from RNAcentral. Lineage: Eukaryota; Metazoa; Arthropoda; Insecta; Neuroptera; Chrysopidae.
CAGAGAAUAGUUUAAUUAAAAUAAUAAUUUUGGAGAUUAUAGAUAAAAUAAAUAUUUUUUCUCUGA